This 21-nucleotide non-coding RNA is filed under the name Arabidopsis thaliana (thale cress). The record is from RNAcentral. Lineage: Eukaryota; Viridiplantae; Streptophyta; Magnoliopsida; Brassicales; Brassicaceae.
UAUGAUGGUUUGGACGGUGAC